This 265-nucleotide ribosomal RNA is filed under the name uncultured archaeon. RNAcentral's name for it is "partial 16S ribosomal RNA". It matches the Rfam family "Archaeal small subunit ribosomal RNA", at positions 719 to 982 of the family's 1478-position model. The record is from RNAcentral.
ACACGACUACAUUAGAUACCCGUGUAGUCCUAGCCGUAAACGAUACUCGCUAGGUGUCGGCCACGGUGCGACCGUUGUCGGUGCCGUAGGGAAGCCGUGAAGCGAGCCACCUGGGAAGUACGGCCGCAAGGCUGAAACUUAAAGGAAUUGGUGGGGGAGCACCACAACGGGUGGAGCUUGCGGUUUAAUUGGAUUCAACGCCGGAAAUCUUACCGGGACCGACAGCAACAUGAAGGCCAGGCUGAAGACUUUGCCGGAUUAGCUG